GUAGUACCGAGGAAAGUCUGCGCUCCACAGAGCAAGGAUGCCAGUUAACGGCUGGUGGGGGCGACCCUAAGGCCAGUGCAACAGAGAUAUACCGCCAGAAAUGGUAAGGGUGGAAAGGCGAGGUAAGAGCUCACCGGGUUAGUAGAGAUACUAAUGCCAUGUAAACCCCAUCCGGAGCAAGACCGAAUAGGAAUAAGAGUUGCUGCUCGUAACUCCCGGUAGGUUGGUCGCUAAAGUCUAUUGGCGACAAUAGAAUGAGAUAGAUAAUUGACGAAUACAAAACGCAGCUUAUAGACUUACUCU
This 303-nucleotide RNase P RNA is filed under the name human gut metagenome. RNAcentral's name for it is "Bacterial RNase P class A". It matches the Rfam family "Bacterial RNase P class A", at positions 35 to 362 of the family's 367-position model. From Rfam's summary of the family: Ribonuclease P (RNase P) is a ubiquitous endoribonuclease, found in archaea, bacteria and eukarya as well as chloroplasts and mitochondria. Its best characterised activity is the generation of mature 5'-ends of tRNAs by cleaving the 5'-leader elements of precursor-tRNAs. The record is from RNAcentral.